AGCCAGAGGACGGCGGGCGAGGCUGAGGUGCCGCUUGUUUCCGGGCCUGGGCUGCAGUGCAGUGACGCGAUCUUGGCUGCAACCUUCGCCUCCUGGGUUCAAGCGAUUCUCCUGCCUCAGCCUCCUGAGUAGCUGGGAUUACAGGCGCGCACCACCACGCCCAACUAAUUUGUGUAUUUUUAGUAGAGAUGGGGUUUCGCUAUGUUGACCAGGCUGGUCUUGAACUCCUGACCUCGUGAUCCACCUGCGUUGGCCUCCCAAAGUGCUGGGACUACAGGCGUGAGUGACCGCGCCUGGCAGCCAUGGGUUCAAAGUAGGCGCAGGGAAGCUUCUGGAGGGUGCCUGGACGGCAGCUAAAUGGUUGGGGCCUGGCUCCUGAGUGACCCUGUGUCAUCCCCAUGGCCAGAUCCCACCCAUCCACACAGGGCCGGCCUCCUGCCCUAGGAUUCUGACUUGGGGGGCUUCCGAGCCCAGGAUUCUAAGACGCGUUGGAGGCUGAGAGCCUUGGCUGGCGCCCUCCGGUCAAGCUCACUACGUGGCCUUUGCGGCCCGCCUGCUUUUCUCUGCCUGGAUCGCUCAGGUUUGACGGCCCAGGGUGGGCCCUAGACGUCUCAGGUGCCAUAGAGGCGCUGCUCCCGGAACUGCUGAAAGAGGAUUGACCAAAUGCUGCUGCUGGGGCGAAGCGUCCUUGCGGAGGGACCCUACCAGGAAGGAGGUACCCCACCAGGAAGAACAGGGAGCCACAGCCCCCAGUCCCCUCGGCCAUCAUCCCGCCUUCCAAUGCCUGAUCCAGUGCCCCAGUGGCAGAAGCGAACUGGGACCAAUCUGCAAAGGAGAAAUUGAGUUGGCAGUGACGUUGCCAGAAAAUCACAACUACGUGCGGAGUACGGAGGGGUGGUUUGGAGCUGAGAGACAAUGGUUUAAUAGCAGGCAGAGUCCUGUGCCUGAUUUGCCUAUCAUAAUGCCCUUUGGCCAUUUCAAAACCAAAUCUGGUUAUGUGCUUCCACCCACCCUGCUCCCACCCCCAGUGUACGCAUUGAAUUCAGAACUCUCACCAGGCCCUACGUUUGCUGUGUUCCCUGCCUCACUUCGUGCCCUGCAUGGUGACCUUCCGUCCUGUCCUCAUGCUCACGGCACAGUCUUUGGCCAGAAUCUUUGCAUCCCCAUCUCUGCAAUUUCCCUCAAAUCUGCUGCAGGGCAACACAUCCUCCUCCUCCUUCAAAUCUCGAUUCAAUCCUCACUGCCCUGACCUCUCUAAGUCAACUCCCUCCAUCAUAAAGUCCCUUGACGCCAUGCAUCAAUUCAGCAAUUCUGCAUCAUAUUUAUCAUAGAAGGAAGCUUGCUUGCAUUUGUGAGAUCCCUUUGGCACCUCCCUCUGCUAGAGGAUAAAUGCCAAGGUCGUGAACUGUCUCUCUCUCUCUCUCUCUGUUUCUGAGAGGAAGUCUUGCUCUGUCACCUAGGCUGGAGUGCAGUGGCACGAUCUCAGCUCACUGCAACCUCCGCCUCCCAGGUUCAAGCAAUUCCCCUGCCUCAGCCUCUAGAGUAGCUGGGAUUACAGGCGCGUGCCACCAUGCCCAGCUAAUUUUUGUAUUUUUAGUAGAGACGGGAGGUUUUACCAUGUUGAUCAGGCUGGUCUUGAACUACUGACCUCAGGUGAUGCACCUGCCUCGGCUUCCCAAAGCGUUGGGAUUACAGGCAUGAGCCACCACGCCUUGCUGAAGUGCCUCUCUCUUUGCUGGCAUCUUAACACCUUGCCUGGCACAAAGGAGGUCCUCAAAAAUGUGUGUUGAAUAAAACUUGCACAAUGCACUAAGCAAGACUCUUGCACUAAAGAUACAUACUUUUAAACCUACAGAGUUUCUAGUUAGCUAGAACAUAGUAUCCAAGAGGCUGAGAAUCUUUGCCUAAUCACUUUAGGACCCUUUUACUCAGUGAAGCCAGUGCCCAUUACAAUGGCUUUCACAGAGUAAAAAGAUCCUAAAGUGGUUUCCCUGGGCAUGGUGGCUCAUACCUGUAAUUCCUGCAUUUUGGGAGGCCAAAGUGGGAAGAUUGCUUGAGGCCAGGAGCUCAAGACUAGCCUGGGCAACAUACUGCGACCUUAUCUCUACAAAAAAGUUUAAAAAAUUAGCCAGGUGUGGUGAUGCACACCUGUAGUCCUAGCUACUCAGGAGGCUGAGGUGGAAGGAUCUUCUGGGCCCAGGAGUUCAAGGUUUCAGUGAGCUAUGAUGGUGCCACUGCAUUCCAGCCUGAGCAACAGAGUGACAUGUUGUCUCUAAGAAAAAAAAAAAAAAACACAAAAACAAAAUGUGUGUUCACUCCUAUCUCUAAUAACUCCUCUUCUAAGAAAAUAUUACCAGAAUGUAAUCAGAAAGGUAGACAAAGAUUAAAUACAAAUUUAAUUAUAAUUUGCACAGAAACAGUUGGAAACAAUCUAAAUAUCCUAUGUUAGAGAAUAAUUGAAUAAACUAUCAAGUACUUCUUGAUGAAAUAUUAUGAUGCCAUGAAAAUAGUACCUGAUAAUUUUUUUUUUUUUUACUUUGGAAACAUUUUAUGGGAUGAGGAUAAGAAGAAAAUGUAAUAUGCUGUAUGUUAAAUGAUUUCAACUGUGCAAAAAAUAUACAGAAAGCAAUUGGGCAAAGUAGCCAAGUAAAGAAUGACGCUAGGUAGUUGAUUGUGUUUUAUUUUCUUUUAUGUUUACCCGUUUUGUAUUAUUCAAAUUUUCCACAGGUAUCACAAUGAAUAAAUCAAAAGCUAUGUAAAAAUUAAAGAAUUUGCCAC
RNAcentral lists this long non-coding RNA (2778 nucleotides) under Macaca mulatta (Rhesus monkey). RNAcentral's name for it is "lncRNA (ENSMMUG00000049612.1)". Lineage: Eukaryota; Metazoa; Chordata; Mammalia; Primates; Cercopithecidae. The record is from RNAcentral.